UGAGUACAAGAUGCUACGGCAUUGAAGCAGUCUAUGUCAUACUUCCAAGAAAAGCUUGCAAUGUCAUAAACAAAUAAUGCCUGUACCAUAACCGACACAGGUGGGUAGGUAGAGUAUACUAAGAGGCGCGAGAUAACUCUCUCUAAGGAACUCGGCAAAAUGACUCCGUAACUUCGGGAGAAGGAGUACCUUAUUUUAUAAGGUUGCAAUAACAAGGUCCAAGCAACUGUUUACCAAAAACACAGGUCUCCGCUAAGUCGUAAGACGAUGUAUGGGGGCUGACGCCUGCCCAGUGCCAGAAGGUUAAAGAAGUUGGUUAGCAUUAGCGAAGCUGAUAACUGAAGCCCUGGUGAACGGCGCCGUAACUAUAACGGUCCUAAGGUAGCGAAAUUCCUUGUCGGGUAAGUUCCGACCCGCACGAAAGGCGUAAUGAUUUGGAUACUGUCUCGGAGAGGGGCUCGGUGAAAUAGACUUGUCUGUGAAGAUGCGGACUACCUGCACCUGGACAGAAAGACCCUAUGAAGCUUUACUGUAACUUGAGAUUGAAAUUGGACUUUAUUUGCGCAGUAUAGGUGGGAGACCUCGAAAGUAUUCUUGCGGGAAUAUUGGAGUCAUCAGUGAGAUACCACUCUUAUAAUGUUAGAUUUCUAACUUUGUAUCAUUAUCUGGUCAAAGAACAGUUUCAGGCGGGCAGUUUGACUGGGGCGGUCGCCUCCCAAAUGGUAACGGAGGCGCACAAAGGUUUCCUCUGAACGUGUAGAAAUCGUAUCUAGAGUGUAAAGGCAUAAGGAAGCUUGACUGUGAGACCUACAAGUCGAGCAGGGACGAAAGUCGGUCUUAGUGAUCUGACGGUGCUGAGUGGAAAGGCCGUCACUCAACGGAUAAAAGUUACUCUAAGGAUAACAGGCUGAUCUCCCCCAAGAGUUCACAUCGACGGGGAGGUUUGGCACCUCGAUGUCGGCUCAUCGCAUCCUGGGGCGGUAGUACGUCCCAAGGGUUGGGCUGUUCGCCCAUGAAAGCGGUACGCGAGCUGGGUUCAGAACGUCGUGAGACAGUUCGGUCCAUAUCCGGUGUAGGCGUUAGAAUAUUGAGAGGAGCCUUCUUUAGUACGAGAGGACCGAGAAGGACAUACCUCUGGUGUACCAGUUAUCGUGCCAACGGUAAACGCUGGGUAGCUAUGUAUGGAGAGGAUAACCGCUGAAAGCAUCUAAGUUGGAAGCCCACCUCAAGAUAAGUAUUCCC
This 1242-nucleotide ribosomal RNA is filed under the name metagenome. RNAcentral's name for it is "bacterial LSU rRNA". It matches the Rfam family "Bacterial large subunit ribosomal RNA", at positions 1564 to 2815 of the family's 2925-position model. The record is from RNAcentral.